This 925-nucleotide ribosomal RNA is filed under the name uncultured bacterium. RNAcentral describes it as "bacterial SSU rRNA". It matches the Rfam family "Bacterial small subunit ribosomal RNA", at positions 53 to 984 of the family's 1533-position model. The record is from RNAcentral.
ACAUGCAAGUCGAGGGGCAUAGUUCUUCGGAGCUAGAGACCGGCGCACGGGUGCGUAACGCGUAUGCAAUCUACCUUUCACAGAGGGAUAGCCCAGAGAAAUUUGGAUUAAUACCUCAUAGCAUAACGACCUGGCAUCAGGAUGUUAUUAAAGUCACAACGGUGAAAGAUGAGCAUGCGUCCCAUUAGCUAGUUGGUAAGGUAACGGCUUACCAAGGCUACGAUGGGUAGGGGUCCUGAGAGGGAGAUCCCCCACACUGGUACUGAGACACGGACCAGACUCCUACGGGAGGCAGCAGUGAGGAAUAUUGGACAAUGGGCGCAAGCCUGAUCCAGCCAUGCCGCGUGCAGGAUGACGGUCCUAUGGAUUGUAAACUGCUUUUAUACGAGAAGAAACACUCCUUCGUGAAGGAGCUUGACGGUAUCGUAAGAAUAAGGAUCGGCUAACUCCGUGCCAGCAGCCGCGGUAAUACGGAGGAUCCAAGCGUUAUCUGGAAUCAUUGGGUUUAAAGGGUCCGUAGGCGGUUUGGUAAGUCAGUGGUGAAAGCCCAUCGCUCAACGGUGGAACGGCCAUUGAUACUGCCAGACUUGAAUUAUUAGGAAGUAACUAGAAUAUGUAGUGUAGCGGUGAAAUGCUUAGAGAUUACAUGGAAUACCAAUUGCGAAGGCGGGUUACUACUAAUGGAUUGACGCUGAUGGACGAAAGCGUGGGUAGCGAACAGGAUUAGAUACCCUGGUAGUCCACGCCGUAAACGAUGGAUACUAGCUGUUGGAAGCAAUUUCAGUGGCUAAGCGAAAGUGAUAAGUAUCCCACCUGGGGAGUACGUUCGCAAGAAUGAAACUCAAAGGAAUUGACGGGGGCCCGCACAAGCGGUGGAGCAUGUGGUUUAAUUCGAUGAUACGCGAGGAACCUUACCAAGGCUUAA